GGGCUGUCAAGUUCUGGCUUUGGGGCUCAGCCAGAAAUGUUUCAGUUACUUCGAGUAGUUCUCCGAGAGAACACAUAGUAUACAAAUUUUGUGUGUGUAGAACAAAAAAACCGAUUGGAUUAGACACCGCGCUGCAACGAGGUUGGGUGUGCAAUACGGUGAGGUGGAAGGUUGAACUAGACAUCCCGCAGAGCCCUCGCAUGUGACCUCCACUUCACAACCACCAGCGAAGAUAUCCCGGCCAUCAAUUUGCCAAAAGUGCUCAAAGCCAACGCUUCGGGAGUUCUUUAAAGUGAGAUCUGUGCCCCUCUCAGGGAUCUUCUUGCCACCAAGUGCAAUGCGGGUCGCCUCAUAAGCUUUACGCCUGCGUUGUAGCAUCCUAAAAUUUUAGUGAACAUUUUACAUAGACUAUAUACCAAUCGAUGCGGACUCGGAAAUGUACUUGGACCAUUCUUUGACGCUGAUUUGAAUUUCUGAUGUGGAGUAGGCCAACUAGAACUCUACCUUUAUGGUGGUGCGGAAAAGUGUUUAUUACACUUCCAAGCAUAACCAUAUAAAUAAAUAGAUUGUUGUCUACCAAAAAAUCUA
This 588-nucleotide small RNA is filed under the name Drosophila pseudoobscura pseudoobscura. RNAcentral's name for it is "GA30651". Lineage: Eukaryota; Metazoa; Arthropoda; Insecta; Diptera; Drosophilidae. The record is from RNAcentral.